Capsicum annuum is the source of this 112-nucleotide non-coding RNA. The record is from Rfam. Lineage: Eukaryota; Viridiplantae; Streptophyta; Magnoliopsida; Solanales; Solanaceae.
GAGAGCACAGUACGAUGAAAGUUGUAAGCUGUGUUCGGGUGGAGUUAUUGUCUAUCGUCGGCCUCUACAGUAGAAUCUGUCGGGGGACCUGAGAAGCGGUGGUUUACCCUGC